Non-coding RNA from Caenorhabditis elegans, 144 nucleotides. The record is from Ensembl. Lineage: Eukaryota; Metazoa; Nematoda; Chromadorea; Rhabditida; Rhabditidae.
AACCGCCCGCCGGCUCCCUUGAGCACUCAUUUUUAUUGUUCCAGAGAUAUAGAGUAAAGACAUAGAGACAUAGAGACAUAGAAUGACUACUACUUUUUCUUCUUCCCGCCUUCUACUACUAACAUCCAUUCUCCCGUUCCCUUU